AGUCCUCCAGCACAACAACCUGCUGGCGGUGAAGAGGCGCUCGCUGGGGGGGCUGCUCCUGCUGAGGCACCUGGAUUUAUCUUACAACAAAAUCCAGUUGAUCGAGGCGUGUGCUUUGGAGAACCUUCCUUUCCUGGAGACCAUAAGCCUGGAGGGAAAUCUCAUCACCCAGAUCCGGAGCGACACCUUCCGGGCAUGGCACGGGAUGCAGUUCCUCCAGACGCUGGUCCUGAGUCGUAACCCCCUGUCUGUUAUCGAGGACACAUGGUUCUUCAAGCUGCCUUCAGUCACUCACCUGGACCUGGGUGCCACACGAGUGACUCGGCAGACGCUGCUCAUGCUGCUCCUGAGAACAUCCCGUUUGGAAACACUGUGAGUGUGC
Pezoporus flaviventris is the source of this 382-nucleotide long non-coding RNA. RefSeq lists it as uncharacterized. Lineage: Eukaryota; Metazoa; Chordata; Aves; Psittaciformes; Psittacidae. The transcript has 5 exons. The record is from RefSeq and is a predicted model, not a curated record.